RNAcentral lists this small RNA (823 nucleotides) under Pongo abelii (Sumatran orangutan). RNAcentral's name for it is "processed transcript". Lineage: Eukaryota; Metazoa; Chordata; Mammalia; Primates; Hominidae. The record is from RNAcentral.
GGAGAACCACCCUGAUGUUCACAGUGGGGUGGGCGGUAAGCAAGAGUCAAGCUGGCUUCUCCGGGGAAGCGGGUGCCUAUUUGAGGGCGAGUAAAGAGGUAGGAGACCGAAGGAAGUGUGUGGGAGGGGUUGACCUGCCCCUUGUCCUGGCUCCGCCACUGCCCACUUCAGCUUCUGCCGGACCCUCCUGGAGCACACGGUGUCAGCUGAGAGCAUCCCCUGCCACUUGCCUCGGACACCUGGCACCAGCCUCACGUGGCAUGACUCCCGCAGCCAGAGGGCGGCCAGCAGCAGGCCAAUCAAGCUCCUGCAGCAGCCUGGCACAGAGACCCCCCAGGGCCGGCUGUACUCUGACCACUAUGGCCUGUACCAUACAAGCCCCUCGCUGGGUGGCCUGACCCGGCCCGUGGUCCUGUGGAGUCAGCAGGACGUCUGCAAGUGGCUCAAGAAGCACUGUCCCCACAACUACCUCGUCUACGUGGAGGCCUUCUCCCAGCAUGCCAUCACUGGCCGGGCACUGCUGCGGCUGAAUGCAGAGAAGCUGCAGCGGAUGGGGCUGGCCCAGGAGGCCCAGAGGCAGGAGGUGCUGCAGCAGGUGCUCCGCCUGCAGGUGCGUGAGGAGGGGCGGAGCCUGCAGCUGCUCAGCCAAGCUUCCUUUGGGAAAAUGUCCUAGCUGCUGCUGAGGCUUGAACCCAGACCCCAGCACUGUGACGGGAGUCCACGGCUAGGGAGGAGGCCGAGCUGGCCCCACAGCACCUCUUGGACCCUGCAGGAUGCCGGGGCGGCCAGGCUGGCCCAACGGACAGACAGGACCAGGAUCACA